RNAcentral lists this ribosomal RNA (497 nucleotides) under uncultured bacterium. RNAcentral describes it as "partial 16S ribosomal RNA". It matches the Rfam family "Bacterial small subunit ribosomal RNA", at positions 28 to 507 of the family's 1533-position model. The record is from RNAcentral.
GAUGAACGCUGGCGGCGUGCCUAACACAUGCCAGUCGAGCGGACGGACGAUAAGCUUGCGUCUCUGAUGUUAGCGGCGGACGGGUGAGUAACACGUGGAUCACCUACCUAUAAUUCUGGGAUAACUUCGGGACACCGGCUCUAAUACCAUAUAAUAUCUUGAACCGCAUGGUUCAAAAGUGAAUGACGGCCUUGCUGUCUCUUAUCGCUGGAUCCGCGCUGCAUUAGCUGGUUGGUAAGGUCACGGCUUACCAAGGCGACGAUGCGUAGCCGACCUGAGAGGGGGAUCGGCCACACUGGAGGUGAGACACGGUCCAGAGUCCUGCGGGAGGGAGCAGUAGGGAAUGGGGGGCAAUGGGCGGAAGCCUGACGGAGCGAGGCGGCGUGGGUGAUGGAGGCCUUCGGAUCGUAAAGCUCUGUUAUGGGGGAAGAACAGAUGUGGAAGGAGCUGUGGAGAUCGUGACGGUACCGAAUCAGAAAGCCACGGCUAACUACGUG